This 301-nucleotide ribosomal RNA is filed under the name uncultured bacterium. RNAcentral's name for it is "partial 16S ribosomal RNA". It matches the Rfam family "Bacterial small subunit ribosomal RNA", at positions 509 to 808 of the family's 1533-position model. The record is from RNAcentral.
CAGCCGCCACGGUAAUACAGAGGGUGCGAGCGUUAAUCGGAUUUACUGGGCGUAAAGCGUGCGUAGGCGGCUUCUUAAGUCGGAUGUGAAAUCCCUGAGCUUAACUUAGGAAUUGCAUUCGAUACUGGGAAGCUAGAGUAUGGGAGAGGAUGGUAGAAUUCCAGGUGUAGCGGUGAAAUGCGUAGAGAUCUGGAGGAAUACCGAUGGCGAAGGCAGCCAUCUGGCCUAAUACUGACGCUGAGGUACGAAAGCAUGGGGAGCAAACAGGAUUAGAUACCCCCAGUAGUCCCUGUCUCUUAUA